ACUGAGGACUGAGGAGGAUCUCUCGAUGUAAAUAAUAUAGUACUGGCAUUCGUUAUUUACAUCUUUUAGUGGAUAUUGUCAUUGAUCCAGCUUCUGACAAACACAUGGUAAAUAAAGUUAUUAAUUUUCCGACUUUAUGAGAGAUAACAAACACCACUUGCACAUUCCCGGGUUUUCUUCUUUCAGGGCCAAUGAGAAGCAGAGUAUGGGCGGGUCUUCGCAUAAUGAAAUAAUGCAGCAGGCGCCAAAUUCGCACACCCCACCAUAGCACCCCACUGAGAGCAAUCGUUAUAGUGCCAGCCUGCGAAAUAUUGAGUUUGUACAAACUUGGUGAGAUUUAAUCAUGAUUUGGCGUUGUGUUAUAUGUCUAGUAUUCGUGGCUUUGUCUUUGAGAAUGCUUCUUGGACAUAUUAGUUCAAGACAUGGUAGAAGUCCUAAUUUCCAUGUCACCUGUGGGGUAGAUGGCUGUGCAGCAGAUUAUAGAGUAUACAACUCUUUUUUCUACCACCUAAAACGCAAACACACGGCAUUUGUGGCCAGUGGUCGCCCACCAAGUCAUCCAGCCUUCCUGCAUGUUGAUUCAGCCAGGCUUGGCAAAGACAAUUAUGAUAUUCCGAUUUUUCGUGGCUGUAUCACCUUGGAUGGCAUGCGGGUGACACCAUCACAGCAGGAAGGCUUGGAUGGAUGGCGGGAUACCCAACAAGAGCCUAAUCAUACAGGCGCCGAAAUUCCAGUAGAGGACACAGAAAAUCAAGGCGGGAAUCUGGAACCGGUGCAAAUUGAGAAUCCAGAAAACAUGGGAGAGGCAUCCUCUGCUACGACCACAGUCUGUCCCGGCAUUCUGCAGCAUUUGCUCUAAAUAUCCGUGAGAGAUGCUACUUAUCUCAGGGGAAUGUCAACAAUGUUGUUUCAGAUGUGCAACAGUACCAAGCCUCCCUUCUAGACAACCUCAGGGACAAGAUCAAGAAUGCUUUUGACACCCAUGUUGGAAGUGAGGAGAAUCUCCAAACAACAGUCCUAGCAGUAUUUGAUGACUUUAAAGACCCCUUCUCAAAAGUCUCAUCUACGCAUCUACAGGACCGUAGCAUUCGGCAUUUGUUUAACCCUGUUGAGCCUGAGGAGGUGGUCAUAUCACGAACUGCAUAUAGAACUAAGAAAACAAUUUCAAGAGCUCUUACCAUUAAAACUAACUCAUUUUAUUAUGUGCCAUUAUUCAAGAGCUUCGAGGAGUUGUUUUUUGAUCCCCGGAUAUUCACAAUGAUAAGCUCCAUACCUAAGAGGUGUAAAGAGGGUUUUUUAUAUGAUAUAGUUGAUGGUGAACUUCUUAGGGACCACCCACUGUACUCCGUCAGACAUUCCGCUUUGCAGAUAAUUUUAUAUACUGACGAAAUUGAAAUAUGCAAUCCACUUGGAGCACAUGCAAGAAAGAACAAACUGUUAAUGGUUUAUUACACUUUAGGAAAUAUAGAUCCUAAGUAUAGAUCAAAUCUGUCUGCAAUUAGAUUGCUAGCCAUUGCAAAAUCAAGUGAGCUGUCUCAGUGUGGUGUGGAUGUGAUUUUAGAUAGAAUCAAAAAAGAUUUAGAUGUGUUGUACCACGGUGUUAAAAUCCAAACAGCUGUUGGUGAGAGGAUCAUGUAUGGUGCUGUGGUUUCCCUUUGUGGGGAUACAUUGGCUCAACAUGAGUUUGCAGGUUUUAAAGAGGGUGUUGGUUUUGCUCUUUGUAAAUGUAGGCAUUGUGAGAUGACAUGAAAAAUAACUUUGAUGAGAAAUGUUUCAACAAAAGAACAGUAGAGCGACAUCUGCGCCAGUGUUCUGAUAUUGAGAGGGCCAGCACAGAUUUUGUAAAGAACAAUUUAAAAACAACAUAUGGGAUCAACAGAAAAAGUAGAUUGUGUGAUUUUCCUGGCUUCAAUCUUAUUGAGCAGACCCCAACAGAUAUUAUGCAUAUUAUUCUUGAAGGAGUCGCCCCUAUGGAGAUCAAAUGUGUGCUAAAACAUCUCAUUCUUAGUGGGCAGAUAGAACUGGAUGCAUUUAAUUCAGCUAUGGUCUGUUUCCCUUACUCACCUCAUGAUCUAAGAGACAGACCAUGUCCCAUCACUGUUUCCACAUUGACCUCAAAUGAUAACAGACUAAAACAAUCUUCAGGACAAAUGCUUAUCCUUUUGAAAAUAUUGCCAUUUUUGCUAAAUGACGUCAAAGAGAGUUUGUUUGUGCAGUUCAUCAUUGAAUUGGUAGAGAUAACACGGAUCCUGUUUGCACCAGUCAUCUCACUUACAACAGUUGCAAGGCUUAAAGAAUUGAUAGAGCAGCAUUUGAAAUCAUUUAAGCAGCUUUCCCCAGAAAACAACGUUAUACCAAAACAACAUUAUUUGCUUCAUCUUCCUUCACAAAUUAUGGCUUUGGGUCCUAUGAUUAGACACAUGUGUAUGAGAUUUGAAUCAAAACAUAGGUUUUUUUUAAACGCUGGGCUUCAAAAUUACAUUUUAAGAACAUUUGUAAGACAUUAGUUCAGCACAAUCAGAGGUUUGAAUGCUCUCACAAUGUGAAUGGAAGGCAACACCCGGUUUUUUCAAAUGAGAAGGAACUGGGCCCAACAUCUGAAGUUGUAAACACAGACUAUGUACUGUCGAAACUGAGAGACUACAUUGGUACUUGUGACGUGCAAACUGUUGUGUCACUCAAGUGGCUUAUCCUUAAUGGGAACAAGUAUACGAGUCAUAAGUCAUUGAUAAUCAGUGGUUUUAAUGACCAGCAUCUACCAGUAUUUGGGCUAAUCAAAGAUAUCUGGCUGGUGAACACUUAUUUAUACUGCUUUGAAUAUCAGCCCUAUGACACUUUGGGCUUCAGCAAAGAUUUGCUUGCAUAUGAAGUAGACAUCCCUGAUCUUGCACAAGCCACAGAGGUAGUUGAUGUUGAGAAGCUAGUUGAUUUUACAGCUUAUUAUGCAGUUACUUUUAAAGACCACCAAUAUGUUCCAAUUAAGUACAACCUCAAUGAUGUUAUGGAAUUGAGCUGUUAAGCUGGUGAUAAAUGAAGGUCUCUUGGUGUGUGUGAAAGCACUGACAGUCACCCCUACAAUCUCGAGUCAAAGAUAUAUUGUAAUAUUUAUUUUUGUUAUCCAUAUCGCUCAGCCAUACUUGGUGUGUUAAGCUGUUCAUGUUUAAAUGUGUAAUGUGGCAUGGAUUGUUUGAUAGUUUGGUGUGAUAUAUGAAAAGCACCACAACCUCAGAAAUUAAGAUAUAUUAUUCUUUAUCCAGUAUUGCUUAUGCAUAUCAUCAGUUAUUCUGGUCCAUAUCCUUUAGGAGAGUGUGUUAUGAUGAUUAUUUUGUGAUUAUCAUUAAAAGAGAUGUUA
Gymnodraco acuticeps is the source of this 3352-nucleotide RNA transcript. RefSeq lists it as uncharacterized. Lineage: Eukaryota; Metazoa; Chordata; Actinopteri; Perciformes; Bathydraconidae. The record is from RefSeq and is a predicted model, not a curated record. The transcript has 3 exons.